Molecule: long non-coding RNA, 643 nt
Filed under: Carica papaya (papaya)
Lineage: Eukaryota; Viridiplantae; Streptophyta; Magnoliopsida; Brassicales; Caricaceae
Description: long non-coding RNA (CPAP_LNC006290)
Source: RNAcentral
UGUUUUGUAUCUAGGAGUCAAUAGGGCCAUAAUGAAGUAUUAAGUUAGAGUAAAAGGGGUGUCGGGCUGUGCCAGACCAGUCGUAAGGGACGAGGUUAGAGUCAAUAGGCAGUAAAUAGGAAUAAGAGUGAGUGUGAGAUAAGCAUGGGUGUAGAGGAGGUGUAGUGAAUAGGAAAGAAUGAGCAACAGAGUAUAGAAUAAAAUGUUGGAAAGGGAGUCUAAUUAAUUGUCAUACUUUAGUUUUAAAUUCUAAAUUGUUCUUAUUAGGUUAUGUAUACUCAUUAACUUCAUUUUCAGAUGUAGUGCAACAGGAAUCGGAACCAUAAUGCUUAGCCACGAGACUCCAUACUUAAGGAAGAUAGAAUAGUAGUAUUGAAAUUAAUAUGAAGUAUUACAAUUAACUGUGUUAAAACGAUAAUUAAUUCUCUUGUGUUCUCUUAUAUUCGUUAGAUUGAUUUUGGUUAAAUAUGGUAUAUCUCGUAAAAAAUUGUAUCUACCUUAUUACAAGAGUUUUUACAGCGUUAUUUGAAUUUUUCUCGAUACGAUAGUAUAAUAUAUUAUCAUCAUUCUGUAUGACAAAGAAGUGUAUGGCAUAUACUAGCAUUAAAAUUCAUUAUUUUAUGAGUGUAUGAUAAAUUAUUAG